GAGAUUCCCCCAGUAGCGGCGAGCGAACGGGGAGGAGCCCAGAGCCUGAAUCAGCAUGUGUGUUAGUGGAAGCGUCUGGAAAGGCGCGCGAUACAGGGUGACAGCCCCGUACACAAAAGCGCAUGUGUUGUGAGCUCGAUGAGUAGGGCGGGACACGUGGUAUCCUGUCUGAAUAUGGGGGGACCAUCCUCCAAGGCUAAAUACUCCUGACUGACCGAUAGUGAACCAGUACCGUGAGGGAAAGGCGAAAAGAACCCCGGCGAGGGGAGUGAAAAAGAACCUGAAACCGUGUACGUACAAGCAGUGGGAGCCCCACCACUAAGCCAGUGGUGAACUCCACAUACGCAUCCUUUGCUGAGGAUACGGUUAACGGAGCGAAAGCGACGUUCAACCGCAAAAGAAGCAGAGGGGGCUUAGUGGUGGGGUGACUGCGUACCUUUUGUAUAAUGGGUCAGCGACUUAUAUUCUGUAGCAAGGUUAACCGUAUAGGGGAGCCGUAGGGAAACCGAGUCUUAACCGGGCGUUAAGUUGCAGGGUAUAGACCCGAAACCCGGUGAUCUAGCCAUGGGCAGGUUGAAGGUUGGGUAACACUAACUGGAGGACCGAACCGACUAAUGUUGAAAAAUUAGCGGAUGACCUGUGGCUGGGGGUGAAAGGCCAAUCAAACCGGGAGAUAGCUGGUUCUCCCCGAAAGCUAUUUAGGUAGCGCCUCGUGAAUUCAUCUCCGGGGGUAGAGCACUGUUUCGGCUAGGGGGCCAUCCCGGCUUACCAACCCGAUGCAAACUGCGAAUACCGGAGAAUGUUAUCACGGGAGACACACGGCGGGUGCUAACGUCCGUCGUGAAGAGGGAAACAACCCAGACCGCCAGCUAAGGUCCCAAAGUCAUGGUUAAGUGGGAAACGAUGUGGGAAGGCCCAGACAGCCAGGAUGUUGGCUUAGAAGCAGCCAUCAUUUAAAGAAAGCGUAAUAGCUCACUGGUCGAGUCGGCCUGCGCGGAAGAUGUAACGGGGCUAAACCAUGCACCGAAGCUGCGGCAGCGA
RNAcentral lists this ribosomal RNA (1041 nucleotides) under Salmonella enterica subsp. enterica serovar Thompson. RNAcentral's name for it is "bacterial LSU rRNA". It matches the Rfam family "Bacterial large subunit ribosomal RNA", at positions 231 to 1211 of the family's 2925-position model. Lineage: Bacteria; Pseudomonadati; Pseudomonadota; Gammaproteobacteria; Enterobacterales; Enterobacteriaceae. The record is from RNAcentral.